Molecule: transfer RNA, 73 nt
Filed under: Bovicola caprae
Lineage: Eukaryota; Metazoa; Arthropoda; Insecta; Psocodea; Bovicoliidae
Description: tRNA-Asn
Source: RNAcentral
UCAAUCUAAUACUAGAGGAGUUCGAGUAUUCCCACUGUUGAUGGGAGAAGGAGAUAUAGGGUCUCAGAUUGAA